UACGGGGGGGGUAAGCGUUGUCCGGAAUUAUUGGGCGUAAAGAGCGUGUAGGCGGUCCGGUAAGUCAGCUGUGAAAGUCAAGGGCUCAACCCUUGAAUGCCGGUUGAUACUGUCGGGCUAGAGUCCGGAAGAGGCGAGUGGAAUUCCUGGUGUAGCGGUGAAAUGCGCAGAUAUCAGGAGGAACACCGGUGGCGAAGGCGGAUCUCUGGGCCUUACCUGACGCUGAGGCGCGAAAGCUAGGGGAGCGAACAGG
RNAcentral lists this ribosomal RNA (253 nucleotides) under uncultured bacterium. RNAcentral's name for it is "partial 16S ribosomal RNA". It matches the Rfam family "Bacterial small subunit ribosomal RNA", at positions 524 to 776 of the family's 1533-position model. The record is from RNAcentral.